UACGUAGGGUGCAAGCGUUAAUCGGAAUUACUGGGCGUAAAGCGUGCGCAGGCGGUUUGCUAAGACCGAUGUGAAAUCCCCGGGCUUAACCUGGGAACUGCAUUGGUGACUGGCAAGCUAGAGUGUGGCAGAGGGGGGUAGAAUUCCACGUGUAGCAGUGAAAUGCGUAGAGAUGUGGAGGAAUACCGAUGGCGAAGGCAGCCCCCUGGGCUAACACUGACGCUCAUGCACGAAAGCGUGGGGAGCAAACAGG
This 253-nucleotide ribosomal RNA is filed under the name uncultured bacterium. RNAcentral's name for it is "partial 16S ribosomal RNA". It matches the Rfam family "Bacterial small subunit ribosomal RNA", at positions 524 to 776 of the family's 1533-position model. The record is from RNAcentral.